This 1049-nucleotide ribosomal RNA is filed under the name uncultured Alteromonas sp. RNAcentral's name for it is "bacterial SSU rRNA". It matches the Rfam family "Bacterial small subunit ribosomal RNA", at positions 216 to 1258 of the family's 1533-position model. Lineage: Bacteria; Pseudomonadati; Pseudomonadota; Gammaproteobacteria; Alteromonadales; Alteromonadaceae. The record is from RNAcentral.
GGCGCAGAGAGAGGCCCAAGUGAGAUUAGCUAGUUGGUGAGGUAAAGGCUCACCAAGGCGACGAUCUCUAGCUGUUCUGAGAGGAAGAUCAGCCACACUGGGACUGAGACUCGGCCCAGACUCCUACGGGAGGCAGCAGUGGGGGAAUAUUGCACAAUGGGGGAAACCCUGAUGCAGCCAUGCCGCGUGUGUGAAGAAGGCCUUCGGGUUGUAAAGCACCUUCAGUUGUGAGGAAAAGUUAGUAGUUAAUACCUGCUAGCCGUGACGUUAACAACAGAAGAAGCACCGGCUAACUCCGUGCCAGCAGCCGCGGUAAUACGGAGGGUGCGAGCGUUAAUCGGAAUUACUGGGCGUAAAGCGCACGCAGGCGGUUUGUUAAGCUAGAUGUGAAAGCCCCGGGCUCAACCUGGGAUGGUCAUUUAGAACUGGCAGACUAGAGUCUUGGAGAGGGGAGUGGAAUUCCAGGUGUAGCGGUGAAAUGCGUAGAUAUCUGGAGGAACAUCAGUGGCGAAGGCGACUCCCUGGCCAAAGACUGACGCUCAUGUGCGAAAGUGUGGGUAGCGAACAGGAUUAGAUACCCUGGUAGUCCACACCGUAAACGCUGUCUACUAGCUGUUUGUGAUUUUAAAUCGUGAGUAGCGAAGCUAACGCGCUAAGUAGACCGCCUGGGGAGUACGGCCGCAAGGUUAAAACUCAAAUGAAUUGACGGGGGCCCGCACAAGCGGUGGAGCAUGUGGUUUAAUUCGAUGCAACGCGAAGAACCUUACCUACACUUGACAUGCAGAGAACUUUCUAGAGAUAGAUUGGUGCCUUCGGGAACUCUGACACAGGUGCUGCAUGGCUGUCGUCAGCUCGUGUCGUGAGAUGUUGGGUUAAGUCCCGCAACGAGCGCAACCCUUGUCCUUAGUUGCCAGCAUUAAGUUGGGCACUCUAAGGAGACUGCCGGUGACAAACCGGAGGAAGGUGGGGACGACGUCAAGUCAUCAUGGCCCUUACGUGUAGGGCUACACACGUGCUACAAUGGCAUUUACAGAGGGAAGCGAGACAGU